GAUGGAGAUUAUGGGGGCAUCCAAGCCCCCUACACCCAACCCCCAGAAACUGGGAGCAGAUCCACUGUUCUGUGUAACAGAAAAUUUGGGGGUUCCUGUGGCAGUUCACAAGAUUGGGAAGCAAAAAGGGAGGGAAGGAGCAGGAAAGCAGCAUGAUGGGUAGAGGCUGGCCGGUAGAGUCAUCUCAGGGGGAGGGAAGGUGACAGGAGGGCACUCCAAGAAUAGGCUCUGAAGCACUGAUAUGAAAAAGGCCCCAGCUCCUCACUCCUCAAAUACUGCGUAAGCUCCCUCUGCUGACGGGAGGUUCACUCCUGGACCAUGGGCACCGGACAUGCUGCCCUGGGUCAUGCAUGUCAACGCCAACCUGUGAACACUCAGGCCCUCUCUGCUUCCUUAGCGUUGGGGUGGGAAGGGAGAGUAGCAAAAGUCACGUGCUGGUAGCUGCCCAGUGAAGAAAGACGUGCUGCUGAGGCUUGGAUUUACUCUGCAGAGCCCCAGUUGGUGGCACGGUUCCUCUUCUGAGCAGAGAAAUGGGGGAAAGGGUGGCAGAGAGAUAAACAUCGCGAAUUAUCUCAUUAAUCUGCCUGGCCAUGCCAUUUUGCAGUAAGACAAACUGACCCCUGGAGUGGUGGGACAACUUUCCCAUAGUGACCCAGACAACCAGUGGUACAGCCAGGGUGAGGAGCCACCCCCACCUUCCAAACCAUCUAGGGAAACCAGGACACAGACUGGGAAGGCCUUGCCCAAGGUCACACAGCAAUUGGGCAGUAGAGCCAGGAUGCAAGGCCUCCAGACCGAGGCCUCCUGUGGCUGCCAGCCUGGGAAAGCUGCCCAGCCCUUUCACCUGCUGCUGGUCGCCUGCUGGAGGAAAGCAUGAGGCUGCUAGGGACGGGCAGCAUGAGUGAAGAAUCCCUCAGGCCCAGACAUUAGGUGUUGAACGGGUCUCCCUCGCACCCUGUUCUGAAAGCCCACCCCAGCGAGACAACAGCUCUGGGGACACAAGUGCCCAAGGCAGGAAACCAGGAACCGUGCUGGACUUAGUGCACGUGUGACCUCACUUAACCCUCAGGCCGCAGGGAGAUAUAGGCUCCUUCCUGUUCCUAUUUUUCCAGAGAGGACCCCGAGGCGACUGAGGCCCCAGGACUCGCACCCCCUGGUGGGGGAGGCACCUGGACGAGCGCCCACUGCUGCGUUGGGGAGGUGGCCUGGAGCCCGGUUGCUUUCCCCGCCUGGACUGGAGCUGCUCCCGCCGGAUCCCGAGCAGCCAGAGAGGAAGGCCGAAACAAUGGCAGCCGCAGUGGCCGGUCCUGGGUUCCGCAGCCAGGGUGGGGCCGGCUCGCGGCCAGAGAGCCAGUGGGAAAGAGGUCCCUGCGCAGGAGACUAACAAGAUUAACGACUAACAUCGGUUGAGCAGUUACUGUGUGCCAGGACCUGCAGUAAACGCCUUAGAUGGAUUAUAUCAUGGAUCCUCACCUUACCCUUGAUGAUUAGCCCCAUUUUACAGAUGAAGAGACUGAGUGAGGCACAGAGAGUUUAAGUAAAAUGUCCAAGGUCAAAACCAGUGUCUUCCGAGGAGUUGAAAGAUAGCCCUCAACCUCAAAAGGAGUGCAAGGAGGUUCUUAGCUCCCGGACACCAUCCGUCAUUCUUAGCCAGAAGUCUGACUUCAAGAAGAGUCCCAGCUGUUUGCCCAGCUGCACCUGGCUGAGAUGGAGAAGGUGUUUGAGGAGGACACUCACUCUCCUGCAGGAGGAGGACUCUGUCUCACCUCUCACGCCGCCAUUUUUUUAGCUGGUGGUCCAGAUGUUUCUUGAUUCUGUCCAGCCUCACCAGUGGAACCGUUCAAGUAAACAAAGGCUCCUCGGGGCUUUGAUCCUGUACCAAUGGAAAAAGACCUCAUCAGCGCGCGGCUUCUACCAGAAAGUGCUUCUCUGUGAGCCCUAAGCUGUGGAGGGCCAGGCCAACAGAACACUGGGUGCUUCAACAGGACUUCCCAGGCUGAGUUCCUUGGGAGGCAGGAGGCCCAGGAAGAUAUUUUUACCUGGCUUUCCUGUGGUUUGGGAAAAGUUCUGCCAGAAACGGCUAGUCUCGGAGCUCUGCUGCUUACCUGCAGAUCUUGGUCGUGGGUGACUGCCAGCGAAGUCAGAUCUUUCUCGUGCUUCUGAUCCUGUUCUUUCCCAGAGGGGAAGGGACUCCACCCUGAUAGGCAGGAAACUAGAUGUGAGUGGGAUGGAAAGAGAAUAAGGCCAGAAAAAAGCCCAUUAAAGGAGACCCAGAGUUAAUCAGUUGAAGCUCAGAAAAGCCAUGGAGCAGUUUGGCCUGGAAUGUGUGAAUAUUCCCCAGAGAGAGGAGGGUACCUCAGCAGAGCCCAUGGCUUUAUUGUGUUAAUCAUACAGGCCCAGCUUAUUUUUUUAACUUUACCUAUAUACUGUUUUUCCCUAAUCAAGUAGUUUGCAAUCUGUCCAAUUAAUAAUGACAAGCAAGCCCAGCAUAAACAACACAGUAACAGGCAGGAAGGAUUCCAUCUUAAAAAUAAGAUUGGGUUUUAACAGCCAGGACAUUAAGAAGAUUCUUAACUUACACUUUAGCAAACAGACAAUAACUCAGCCCACCUUGGGGGCCGGGCAGGCAGUCUUGAUACACUCCCAGGCCAAGAAAUGCCGGGCUCCCAGGGAGAAAUCAGAGCAGGAAGUUCCCUGUGCUACAUUAGUUCUAAGUAUUGAAAGACCACCUAACAGGUCUGCACCCCCAGCCCAUAGUCACAUUCCUGAAGGAUCCUUAAAAGGGGGAACCCCCAACCUUUCAGGGCACUCCUCUCCUUGAAGUCGCCCGCACUUUCUAAGUGCAUGACUUUUUCACUGUAAACUCUCUCUUUUGAACCUUGCAGGGUGCUGCGCUCUCUCUGAGGUCACCUGCUCUUUUUCUCUAAGUAACGUUAAAUAAAUCUUUUCCUCUGUUUCA
Molecule: long non-coding RNA, 2959 nt
Organism: Manis pentadactyla (Chinese pangolin)
Lineage: Eukaryota; Metazoa; Chordata; Mammalia; Pholidota; Manidae
Exons: 5
Source: RefSeq, a predicted model, not a curated record